CUCCGCCUUUCUAAAUAUUCGCUUCCUCUAGUUGUGCCCGCAAUUGUCCUUGCCCUUGAAAACCUCUNGUAGGGUGGCGCCCUCCUUCGACUUUGCUCUUACCCUAUGAUGUCCGUCUCCCCUCCAAUCUUCUGAUCUAUCCGUGCCGACUCCCCGCCUCCUCCGCCCCUCAACGGCCAUUCCUCGAUCCCGCAUUAAAAAUUGUGUUUUCGAGCGCAACCAUUAAGUACUCCACCUGGAAACUCCGACACAAAGGUUCAAACUCAAGGAAAUUGACGGUGGUCCGCACAAGCGGUGGAGCAAUGGGUUUAAUUCGAGGAUACGNGAGGAACCUUACUCCGGGUAGAAUGCUGGGGGACCGAUCCUGAAAGGGGUCUUUGUAGCAAUACACCGCCAGUAAGGUGNUGCAUGGCUGUAGUCAGCUCGUGCCGUGAGGUGUUGGUUAAGUCCCGCAACGAGCGCAACCCCUAUUUUCAGUUGCCAACGGGUCAAGCCGGGAACUCUGAAGAAACUGCCGUCGUAAGACGCGAGGAAGGAGGGGAUGAUGUCAAGUCAUCAUGGCCUUUAUGCCCAGGGCUACACACGUGCUACAAUGGGGAGGACAAAGGGAAGCUACCUGGUGACAGGAUGCAAAUCUCAAAAACCUCUUCUCAGUUCAGAUUGUAGUCUGCAACUCGACUACAUGAAGCUGGAAUCGCUAGUAAUCGCGCAUCAGCAAUGGCGCGGUGAAUACGUUCCCGGACCUUGUACACACCGCCCGUCAAGCCAUGGAAGCCGGGUGUACCUAAAGUCGGUAACCGCAAGGAGCCGCCUAGGGUAAAACUGGUAACUGGGGCUAAGUCGUAACAAGGUAA
Molecule: ribosomal RNA, 854 nt
Filed under: uncultured Bacteroidota bacterium
Lineage: Bacteria; Pseudomonadati; Bacteroidota
Description: bacterial SSU rRNA
Rfam family: Bacterial small subunit ribosomal RNA (bases 237-854)
Source: RNAcentral